Molecule: long non-coding RNA, 477 nt
Organism: Carya illinoinensis
Lineage: Eukaryota; Viridiplantae; Streptophyta; Magnoliopsida; Fagales; Juglandaceae
Exons: 2
Source: RefSeq, a predicted model, not a curated record
GGCUUGUGAAGGAAGACACCCAAAAAGUCACUUAAGCCUAUUUUUACCCCCAUUAGACCCGUCGGCUUCCAAGGCAAGCAAAAGGGAACAAAAGUUCCCCAAGUCCCUCACCGUGCGACACUACCAUUCUUCUUUCCCACUUCCAUUCUCCUUCCAACCUUAAGCCAAAGCACCUAUUAUUUCUUCUUGUCAAGAGGAAAAUAGCAAGCCAAGGAUUUCGUCUGUUCUCUAGUUCCCCAAGCCGAACCUACCUUUCCUCUUCUCCAUUUUGUGUUUUUGGGAAGGGAUUCACCAAAGGUAUAAACCCUAAGUGGAACUCCAUUUGAUUGGGAUGUUGUUUUGAGGCUAAUCGAAUCAUGAUGUCUUUAGUAGAAAGCUUGUGUUCCAGAUUUUGUUCUUUAUCCCUUCAUGUUUAAUUUCUCAUACAUAUGCUCUGUUUUGGCUUAAUCGUGUAUAUUUAUGAGAGCUAUUUUGUGU